CCAAUAGCGUAUAUUAAAGUUGUUGCAGUUAAAAAGCUCGUAGUUGAAUUUCGGGGUCAGUAAGUUGGUCGUGCCACUGGUAUGUACUGGCUUCACUGAUUCCUCCUUCUUGAAGAACUGUAAUGCUAUUAAUUUAGUGUUGCAGGGAAACAGGACUGUUACUUUGAAAAAAUUAGAGUGUUUAAAGCAGGCUAACGCUUGAAUACAUUAGCAUGGAAUAAUGAAAUAGGACGUUUGAUCCUAUUUUGUUGGUUUCUAGGAUUGACGUAAUGAUUAAUAGGGAUAGUUGGGGGCAUUAGUAUUCAAUUGUCAGAGGUGAAAUUCUUGGAUUUAUUGAAGACUAACUACUGCGAAAGCAUUUGCCAAGGAUGUUUUCAUUAAUCAAGAACGAAAGUUAGGGGAUCGAAGACAAUCAGAUACCGUCGUAGUCUUAACCAUAAACUAUGCCGACUAGGGAUCGGAUGAUGUUAAUUUUUUAAUGACUCAUUCGGCGCCUUACG
RNAcentral lists this ribosomal RNA (500 nucleotides) under uncultured Glomeromycotina. RNAcentral describes it as "partial small subunit ribosomal RNA". It matches the Rfam family "Eukaryotic small subunit ribosomal RNA", at positions 591 to 1092 of the family's 1831-position model. Lineage: Eukaryota; Fungi; Glomeromycota. The record is from RNAcentral.